This 396-nucleotide ribosomal RNA is filed under the name uncultured bacterium. RNAcentral describes it as "partial 16S ribosomal RNA". It matches the Rfam family "Bacterial small subunit ribosomal RNA", at positions 523 to 918 of the family's 1533-position model. The record is from RNAcentral.
AUACGUAGGGGGCAAGCGUUAUCCGGAUUUACUGGGUGUAAAGGGAGCGUAGACGGCGAAGCAAGUCUGAAGUGAAAACCCAGGGCUCAACCCUGGGACUGCUUUGGAAACUGUUUUGCUAGAGUGUCGGAGAGGUAAGUGGAAUUCCUAGUGUAGCGGUGAAAUGCGUAGAUAUUAGGAGGAACACCAGUGGCGAAGGCGCCUUACUGGACGAUAACUGACUUUGAGGCUCGAAAGCGUGGGGAGCAAACAGGAUUAGAUCCCCUGGUAGUCCACGCCGUAAACGAUGAAUGCUAGGUGUUGGGGGGCAAAGCCCUUCGGUGCCGCCGCAAACGCAGUAAGCAUUCCACCUGGGGAGUACGUUCGCAAGAAUGAAACUCAAAUGAAUUGGCGGGG